RNAcentral lists this ribosomal RNA (651 nucleotides) under Triticum aestivum (bread wheat). RNAcentral's name for it is "partial small subunit ribosomal RNA". Lineage: Eukaryota; Viridiplantae; Streptophyta; Magnoliopsida; Poales; Poaceae. The record is from RNAcentral.
AAGAAGCUCCAUACUGUGGUGCUCCUGUGGGAUUGGUGGACAUCAAGGAACAAGGCCAACACUGGACAAAAACAACGAUCAGCGGGCGAGGUGAGCAUGUUUAUUACCAAGCAUAUGACAGAGUUUGAAGCUCUUCGAAGCAAGCCAAUUCCACACCCAGCUGUGCAGCUUGCUUGGGUUCCCCCCGAACCAGGUGUUGUCAAAUUCAACAUGGACACCGCAUAUAGAGAGGAGUUGGAGUCUGGAGCGUGGGGUUUUAUUGUAAGGGAUGAACAUGGCGUCUUCUUGGCGGCUGCUGCAGGCAAGCUGGAGCAUGUGCGAAGUGCUUUUCAAGCUGAGUGUUUAGGCUGUCUAAAAGCAAUUGAAGGAGCGGCUGAUCUGGGAGCACAUCGGGUCAUAUUCGAAUCGGACUGCCUCACUAUGACCUCUGCACUUAAAGGUCGGGACUACAAUGCUGCUGAUCUGGGCGUCCUAAUUAGAGAAGCUAGAAGUUUGUGCCAUGCUUCGUUUCAAUCUUUUGAGUUCAAUUUCAGUAGACGGGACUGUAAUAAAAUUGUGCACACCUUGGCACAUUAUGCUUUGGGUGUCGAUGUACCCCUGACUGUCUGGGCUGAUGAGGCCCCGGACUUUGUUUCGGUGUUGGUGGCCACU